RNAcentral lists this long non-coding RNA (1066 nucleotides) under Physcomitrium patens. RNAcentral describes it as "long non-coding RNA (PPAT_LNC000942)". Lineage: Eukaryota; Viridiplantae; Streptophyta; Bryopsida; Funariales; Funariaceae. The record is from RNAcentral.
UAUUUGCGUCAAAGCCUCACUUGAUGGAAUGGAAUGGAACAAUUCGAUGAGGAAGAUCCCAUUGAUAGGAUCAACGAAAAAAUGGCAGUCAGAAUGCGAAGGAGAAGCGUUGACGCACGCAUCAUUAAUUACAGCGCAUGACUCUCACUCCCUCCUUCCCCCACUCCCACGCAGCUGAGCAAUUGGUUUAAUCUACCCAUCCAAGGAUUUAAACCCAUUCCAUUCCACUCCACUCCACUCUCCGGCGCACACACGCGCACACACACUCUCACACACACACACUUGCAGCUCUCUUAUCAUCCAUCAUUUUACCCGUGCGGUGGUGGGAUGCUACCAGGGUGCUUGGCUCAGUAAAGCCGCAGGCUGCAAGGCUCAAAUCACCCAGAACUUCAAUAUCAUGCUGCUUUGGAUUCCACGCUCCAGCCGAAAUCAGGGCUGUGGUGGUUGCUGUGGUUGGUCUCCAGGUGAGCUGUGUGCACGAGAAAAAACACCAUUGAGUACUUGGUGGAUGGUGCAAGGCACUUGCUGAGCCAGAUCAAGGCUGUGACAAGCUGCACUUUGGAUGCUUGAACCCUCCCUCUUCACGAGAAGGAGAAAGGUCAGGUGGGGGAAAGCGCCCACCGCUUUGUAAGGGAACAAAGAUUUGGUGGCAGAAUAUCUGGAGCCUUUGCGCCCAUCACCUGAUGGAAUCCUAAGAUGCAAAUAGUACUGGACCAUCAACCUCAAUAGGAAUCGGUUGUAGCGUAUUUUUCAAUAGUUUCGGUGUUAUUACUAUUAUUAUUAGUUUCAAAAUAAAAAUUUCGAGUGAAUUGGAAAAAGCUUUUCUGCAGCCGAACUGCGAGUUUGGGUGGUAGUAUGGAGAUUGCAGGAAUUAGCUUUUGGAGGCUACGCUGCAAGUCAAUUCAUGGCUCGUUGUACUGAAAGCUUCUCAUCAGUCCUAGCCAGAAAAAGGCUCACCUCGAAGUUCAAAGGUUGACGAAUCAGGGCCCUUGAUUUAACUGAGACGAUUCCAUCAUCGUCAUUCAGUGCUUGUACCACUUGCCCAGUACUCGAGUCAGGGGUUGCG